Molecule: ribosomal RNA, 543 nt
Filed under: Piskurozyma sp.
Lineage: Eukaryota; Fungi; Basidiomycota; Tremellomycetes; Filobasidiales; Piskurozymaceae
Description: partial large subunit ribosomal RNA
Rfam family: Eukaryotic large subunit ribosomal RNA
Source: RNAcentral
AGUAACGGCGAGUGAAGCGGGAAGAGCUCAAAUUUGAAAUCUAACGGACUCAGUCUGUUCGAGUUGUAAUCUAUAGGAACGUUUUCCGUGCCGGCUCAUGUACAAGUCCCUUGGAACAGGGCGUCAUAGAGGGUGAGAAUCCCGUACUUGACAUGAACUACCGGUGCUCUGUGAUACGUCUCCAACGAGUCGAGUUGUUUGGGAAUGCAGCUCAAAAUGGGUGGUAAAUUCCAUCUAAAGCUAAAUAUUGGUGUGAGACCGAUAGCGAACAAGUACCGUGAGGGAAAGAUGAAAAGCACUUUGGAAAGAGAGUUAAACAGUAUGUGAAAUUGUUGAAAGGGAAACGAUUGAAGUCAGUCAUGUCCUUCAGAUUCAGCUGGUUCUGCCGGUGUACUUCUGUUGGAUGGGGUCAACAUCAGUUUUGGAUGCCGGAUAAAGGCUGGAGGAAGGUAGCACCCCCGGGUGAACUUAUAGCCUCCUGUCGCAUACGGUGACCGGGACUGAGGAACGCAGCUUGCCUUUAUGGCCGGGGUUCGCCCACGU